AUUUGGCUUCCCUGAUGUUUAGCGGCGGACGGGUGAGUAACACGUGGGUAACCUGCCUGUAAGACUGGGAUAACUCCGGGAAACCGGGGCUAAUACCGGAUGGUUGUCUGAACCGCAUGGUUCAGACAUAAAAGGUGGCUUCGGCUACCACUUACAGAUGGACCCGCGGCGCAUUAGCUAGUUGGUGAGGUAACGGCUCACCAAGGCGACGAUGCGUAGCCGACCUGAGAGGGUGAUCGGCCACACUGGGACUGAGACACGGCCCAGACUCCUACGGGAGGCAGCAGUAGGGAAUCUUCCGCAAUGGACGAAAGUCUGACGGAGCAACGCCGCGUGAGUGAUGAAGGUUUUCGGAUCGUAAAGCUCUGUUGUUAGGGAAGAACAAGUGCCGUUCAAAUAGGGCGGCACCUUGACGGUACCUAACCAGAAAGCCACGGCUAACUACGUGCCAGCAGCCGCGGUAAUACGUAGGUGGCAAGCGUUGUCCGGAAUUAUUGGGCGUAAAGGGCUCGCAGGCGGUUUCUUAAGUCUGAUGUGAAAGCCCCCGGCUCAACCGGGGAGGGUCAUUGGAAACUGGGGAACUUGAGUGCAGAAGAGGAGAGUGGAAUUCCACGUGUAGCGGUGAAAUGCGUAGAGAUGUGGAGGAACACCAGUGGCGAAGGCGACUCUCUGGUCUGUAACUGACGCUGAGGAGCGAAAGCGUGGGGAGCGAACAGGAUUAGAUACCCUGGUAGUCCACGCCGUAAACGAUGAGUGCUAAGUGUUAGGGGGUUUCCGCCCCUUAGUGCUGCAGCUAACGCAAUUAAGCACUCCGCCUGGGGAGUACGGGUCGCAAGACUGAAACUCAAAAGGAAUUGAACGGGGGCCCGGCACAAAGCGGGUGGAAGCAUGUGGGUUUAAAUUUCGAAAGUAAACGGCGAAAGAACUCAUAACCAGGGUCUUUGAACGAUACCUCUGAACUAUUCCUAGAGAUAAGGACGCCCCCCCUUUCCGGGGGCCAUAGUGGACAAGGGUGUAUGCAUUGCUG
RNAcentral lists this ribosomal RNA (1027 nucleotides) under Bacillus amyloliquefaciens. RNAcentral describes it as "bacterial SSU rRNA". It matches the Rfam family "Bacterial small subunit ribosomal RNA", at positions 73 to 1051 of the family's 1533-position model. Lineage: Bacteria; Bacillati; Bacillota; Bacilli; Caryophanales; Bacillaceae. The record is from RNAcentral.